Long non-coding RNA from Neopelma chrysocephalum (saffron-crested tyrant-manakin), 1244 nucleotides. RefSeq lists it as uncharacterized. The record is from RefSeq and is a predicted model, not a curated record. The transcript has 3 exons. Lineage: Eukaryota; Metazoa; Chordata; Aves; Passeriformes; Pipridae.
GUGGCAUUUCCAGCGCGUUUGGCCACAAAAGCUCCGGGUUGAAUGGCUUAGCAUCCCCCUCUCCGUCUCUCCUUGCAUCACAAAGCUCAGAAGCACCAUUUGAAGUUUCAAAAGGAACGCGUUUUUUGUGAAUGAGAUAAUCAGCGCCGACUAAUCUGCCACGCGCCCCUCCUUGUAAUCCGCACACCUCCAAUUGAGGGAACAAAGCCGGGUCCAGCUAAUCCCGCGGGGUCCUGCCUUGAAGCUGUUGCACGGUCCCUGUGGCAGGAGCGGAGGUGGGAAGGAUUAUGCUGCCAAGAGCAGAUGCAUGUCUGCGUUCUUACAGCCUGGCCCCUUGUUGUGCAUAAUUCCAGGUAAUGAACUUCAGGCUUGAGCCACCAGGCACGUCUGGGUCCCCACAACGAUGGGGCAGAAGUGACCCCAUUAACCAGAUGCACAGGAUCCAUGUGGGAAAGCACCUGCUGCCACGAGCCCCAGAGAUCUGAGCCCUGCAGGUGGGACAGGGAGGUGAAACCACUUCCCAGCUCAUAAAUGGUGCCAGGCUGCUGCACUGAGAGUCGCAGGACCAGGGGGAAGGGAAAACCCUCGUGCUCAGAGUACCCGAGGAGAGGGAGGGGAGCUGUGCUGGAGUCUGGGCUGCUCAUGCAUUUCACAUACAGAGCCACUGGAUCAAACAAACAGCAAAGCCCCAGGAGAAAUCCCAGAGGCUCUUAAAUCCCAUAUUUCCUCAUUGCUAUGGAAGAAGCGUGCGCUGUGCGGGGAAAGGAGUCAAUUUGCUGAUAAAAACAGGCUUGGAGCUGCCUCACUGGAACAAACAGGAGCAGAGAACAUCCGUCCUUGGGAUCUAAACUUGCUGUGCUGUUACAGACUGCACCCCAAUUAAAACCACAAAAAGCUGUCUUCCCCUUUCUCUAAAAUCCACUCCAGAAGAAAAGAAGCUGUUCCUGAUAUACUGCAGUAAAAGCAAUCCAGUUGACUGUCUUUGGAGAGCUCUGCUCUCUCCAGAAGGAGGAAUCUCUCCCGCAUCCAUGCACGCUCAUUCCUGCUCUGUGCCUCUCUGAAGGGAGCCAUCACUCUCUUCAAAACACUCUCCCGUAGUCAGCAGUGAUAGGCAAUGUAAUAAUACCUUUUAUUGGGUCAAUACAUCAGCUGGAAAGCAGAAGCCACCCUUUUCUGCAGGUGAUGGCCAAGGAUUGACCCAUGUGAGUGUGCAGGCCGGGGUAUUACGGCUCUUGGUCCAGCCC